This 183-nucleotide ribosomal RNA is filed under the name Triticum aestivum (bread wheat). Its description in RNAcentral is "partial small subunit ribosomal RNA". The record is from RNAcentral. Lineage: Eukaryota; Viridiplantae; Streptophyta; Magnoliopsida; Poales; Poaceae.
CCCCUCCGCGAGUUCGCCAAGGACAGUGUCCGCCUCGUCAAGCGCUGCCACAAGCCCGACUGCAAUGAGUUCACCAAGGUGGCGGCACGGACAGCGAUCGGGUUCAUCGUCAUGGGAUUCGUCGGCUUCUUCGUCAAGCUCAUCUUCAUCCCCAUCAACAACAUCAUCGCCGGCUCCGGCUAG